This 210-nucleotide long non-coding RNA is filed under the name Lathyrus oleraceus (garden pea). RNAcentral's name for it is "Pisum sativum (pea) long non-coding RNA (PSAT_LNC002797)". Lineage: Eukaryota; Viridiplantae; Streptophyta; Magnoliopsida; Fabales; Fabaceae. The record is from RNAcentral.
UGAAACAGUGGCCUGACACGGCCACCCGUGUCAGACAUGCGAUUUUUUUUGAAAUUUUUUUGAAAAUUUAAAUUUUCGUGGGGCCCACCCACUUAAACCACUCUUAAUCACAUUUUUUCCCUUAUCCCUCAUCAUUAUCAGAUUUUUUUCAUCACUCUCUCUCAUACAUUUUCAUCUUCUUCUCCCACUCUCUCUCAAACUCCAUUAAAA